UUCUUGUUGUUAUCGGGUUUAACAAACCUUAUCAAAUUUUUGUUAAAUCCAGUUAAUGCUUACUCCAUUAUUGAAUCGCCAUUACUUGCAAUUUGAAUCGCCAGCUUUGAAUUGAACGCGGGUUGAAUGUUAAGUCCGCCAUUUACAAUGUCGAAGGUCAUGACGCAGCAAUUUAAUUCUACUCGGAUAAUUUAUAUCUUAUCGAGAAAAUGUGUUUUCUCAAUGUUUAUGUGUUGUAUUAUUACUUGUUAGUAUAAAAAUGAACUGUGAUUCCAGUUUAUAUAAGAUUGGUGUUACUCGUAAAUAUCGGUGGAUUAACAACUGACAAAACUUGCUGGACUUAGAUCUACGUAAUUAAUAGACCUUUGAUCAAUAUAGUUUUUACUUAAUUAAUUUUGCCGACUUUCUUUAACCGUGCCGGCUGAAAAGUCUGCAAAAGACCUGCAAUUAUCGGAUGGUCAAUCAAUUAUCAUGUAAUCACUGCUGCUAAUUACCCAGUUAGUGGGCACGCACUAUUUAGACGGUGACAUGUGUAUUGGAAGAGAUGAGAUAAGAUAAACAACGCCCGGGGUAUUCCCUCGAUUAUAGACCGAGUUUCAAAUACUGAAACAUUAAUUUCAAUUAGGAGCACAGCGGGAUUUAUUACCACGGAACUCGAGAUGUUAACUGACUGACGCACGGGUCAAAUUUUCGACGCGUCAAAAUGACGCACAGCAGAAAAAAGGGUUGCGUCAAAAAUGAGUCAUUUUUAAUUUCUUCGCGUCAAAACGCAGGAUUCUGCGUCUAUUGAAAUCUCUGAUUAUUACAGUAUUGUUCCCUUGUUUACCUGUGCCAAGUAAAGAUACUCAACACACUUGAAAUCCAGUAUAAGAAAAAAAGAGUCACACAGAAUCCGUAUUUUUGCGAAAAAAGAGGGUGUUGGAAAACUUACUUAGUAAUAACAAAAGCUUAAUUUUAAUGAUAUGCUUGCAGAGAAUGCUUUGGCACGGACUGCCCCGCUUUUCCUGGAACCAGCUAAGAUUAAAUUGGAGGAAAAUGGUGACCAUGUGAAGAAAGUUAAAAGAAUGAAGAAAACGAUGUCCCCAGAAAAAGACAAGACUGAGUAUAUUCUACUGUGGAGAAUGCAAUAAGGAGUUUGAAGUGGACUGUCCUGUCCAUGGACCCUAUAACUACAUACAGGACAAAGAGGUGUAAGAAGAAGACCCUCUUAAAGCUGAGCAUACCUUUCCAGAUUGCCUUGAAAUCAAAACAUCCAAAAUAGCUGGAGCUGGUCUUGGAGUGUUUUCCAAGGAGGAACUGGAAUCCAGGAUCAUGUUUGGACCGUAUGGGGGAGAUAUCAUCACUGACAACCAUAAGUCACAGUAUUGCUUGCAGAGGAAGAUCUAUAAGGAUGACAAAGGGAGUGACUUUGUGGAUGCCCAGAACAAAACCACCUCUAACUGGAUGAGAUAUGUUAACUGGGCUAUGACGGAGGCAGAUCGGAAUCUUGUAGGAUUGCAGUACAAAGGAGGCAUCUAUUACUGCACAUUGAAGUCAGUUUCACCAGAUGAGGAACUGCUGGUCUGGUACAGAGAUGAAUUAGCCAGAGAACUUGGUCUCAUCAGACCCCAAAACCUGCCGAGCAGUUAUUCAAAUAAAAACACUGGUCACUUUAAGGAACACAUGACUAUACUUACAGUAGAGAGACCGUUCAAGUGUGGGGUGUGUGGUUAUGCUUGCUACGAGAGUGGUGACUUGAAGACACACAUGCGAAGGAUACAUUCAAAAGAGAGACUGUUAUAGUGUGAGCAUUGUGGUUAUGCUUGUAAACAUAGUAGUACAUUAAAGAAACACAUGAGGAUACAUACAGGAGAGAGACUGUACAAAUGUGAGGAGUGUGGUAAAGCAUUUAAACUGAGUGGUUACUUGAAGACACACAUGAGGAUACAUACAGGAGAGAGACCGUACAAAUGUGAGGAUUGUGGUUAUGCUUGUAACCAGAGUAGUGCCUUGAAGACACACAUGAAGAUACAUUCAGGAGAGAGGCUGUACACAUGUGAGGAGUGUGGUUAUGCUUGUGACCACAGUAGUACAUUCAAGAGACACAUGAGGAAACAUACAGGAGAGAGACUGUACAAAUGUGGGGUGUGUGGUAAAGCAUUUAAACACAGUCAUACCUUGAAGAUACAAAGGAGGAUGCAUUCAGGAGAGACUGUACAAAUGUGAGGAGUGUGGCUUUGCUUGUUACCAGAGUAAUACCUUGAAGACACACAUGAGGAUACAUACAGCUACAGGAGAGAGCCUGUACAAAUGUGAGGAGUGUGGUUAUGCAUGUAACCAGAGUUAUUACUUGAAGAAACACACGAGGAUACAUACAGAAGAGAGACUGUAAAAAUGUUAUGUGUGUGGCUAUGAAUGUAACAGGAGUGAAACCUUGAAGACACACAUGAGGAUACAUACAGGAGAGAGACCGUACAAGUGUGAAGAGUGUGGCAAUGCUUGUCACCAGACUUCUGACUUGAAGAAACACGUGAGGAUACAUACAGAAGAGAGGCUGUAAAAAUGUGAGGUGUGUGGUAAAGCUUUUAAACAGAGUGGUAACUUGAAGACACACAUGAGGGUACACACGGAAGAGAGACUGUACAAAUGUGAGGUGUGUAGUAAAGCAUUUAAACGUUGUGGUAACUUGAAAAUACACAUGUUGAUACAUACAGAAGAGAGACUGUACACAUGUGAGGUGUGUUGUAAAGCAUUUAAACACAGUAGUACCUUGAAGACACACAUGAGGAUACAUACAGGAGAGAGACUAUACAAAUGUGAAGAGUGAUGUUUUGCUUGUAACUAGAGUAGUACCUUGAAGACACACAUGAUGAUUCAUACAGGAGACAGACCGUACAAGUGUGAGGUGUGUGGUUAUGAAUGAAACAGGAGUGAAACCUUGAAGAUAAACAUGAUGAUUCAUACAGGAGAGAGACUGUGCAAAUGUGAGGAGUGUGGCUUUGCUUGUAACCAGAGUUCUGACUUGAAGAAACACAUGAUGUUUCAUACAGGAGAGAGACCGUACAAGUGUGAGGUGUGUGGUUAUGAAUGUAAAAGGAGUGAAACAUUGAAGACACACUUGAGAAUACAUACAGGAGAGAUACCGUACAAGUGUGAGGAGUGUGGCUAUGCGUGUAACCAGUGUUCUUACUUAAAGAGACACAUGAUGAAACAUGCAGAAGAGAGACUGUAAAAAUGUGAGGUGUGUGGUAAAGUAUUUAAACAGAGUGGUACCUGGACACUACAUGAAGAUACAUACAGAGGAAGAACCGUUCAGGUGGGAUGUGUGUGCCUUUUCAUUUUAACAUAAUAGUCACUUGAAAAACACUUGAUGAUACAUUCAAGAGAGAAACAAGAGUGAGUUGUGGUUAUGCGUGUAAGAAGAGUGGUCAAUUGAAGACACACACAAGGAUACAUUCACGAGAAAGGCUGUACAAGUGUAAGAAGUGUGUGUUUCUGCACCUAACACGAGUGGUUACUUGUAGAAGCACAUGAGGAUACAUAAUUGAAGAAAUAUCUUAAACAGGAAAAUAUCACAAAUCUCUGAUAAAAGAAGUGUAAGGGCUUUUUGUGAUUUAUAUAAAGUUUUUAUAAACUUGUAUAGUAAGAUAACUAAAUAAUCUUCUCUUAAACGAUAAGCCAUGAAGAUUAAACGUUUUAAGUUCAA
Dreissena polymorpha is the source of this 3685-nucleotide RNA transcript. It is a transcript of the gene named histone-lysine N-methyltransferase PRDM7-like, with no coding region annotated. The transcript is spliced from 6 exons. The record is from RefSeq and is a predicted model, not a curated record. Lineage: Eukaryota; Metazoa; Mollusca; Bivalvia; Myida; Dreissenidae.